ACACAUGCAAGUCGAGCGGUAGCACAGAGAGCUUGCUCUCGGGUGACGAGCGGCGGACGGGUGAGUAAUGUCUGGGAAACUGCCUGAUGGAGGGGGAUAACUACUGGAAACGGUAGCUAAUACCGCAUAACGUCGCAAGACCAAAGUGGGGGACCUUCGGGCCUCAUGCCAUCAGAUGUGCCCAGAUGGGAUUAGCUAGUAGGUGGGGUAAUGGCUCACCUAGGCGACGAUCCCUAGCUGGUCUGAGAGGAUGACCAGCCACACUGGAACUGAGACACGGUCCAGACUCCUACGGGAGGCAGCAGUGGGGAAUAUUGCACAAUGGGCGCAAGCCUGAUGCAGCCAUGCCGCGUGUAUGAAGAAGGCCUUCGGGUUGUAAAGUACUUUCAGCGAGGAGGAAGGCGUUAAGGUUAAUAACCUUAGCGAUUGACGUUACUCGCAGAAGAAGCACCGGCUAACUCCGUGCCAGCAGCCGCGGUAAUACGGAGGGUGCAAGCGUUAAUCGGAAUUACUGGGCGUAAAGCGCACGCAGGCGGUCUGUCAAGUCGGAUGUGAAAUCCCCGGGCUCAACCUGGGAACUGCAUUCGAAACUGGCAGGCUAGAGUCUUGUAGAGGGGGGUAGAAUUCCAGGUGUAGCGGUGAAAUGCGUAGAGAUCUGGAGGAAUACCGGUGGCGAAGGCGGCCCCCUGGACAAAGACUGACGCUCAGGUGCGAAAGCGUGGGGAGCAAACAGGAUUAGAUACCCUGGUAGUCCACGCCGUAAACGAUGUCGACUUGGAGGUUGUGCCCUUGAGGCGUGGCUUCCGGAGCUAACGCGUUAAGUCGACCGCCUGGGGAGUACGGCCGCAAGGUUAAAACUCAAAUGAAUUGACGGGGGCCCGCACAAGCGGUGGAGCAUGUGGUUUAAUUCGAUGCAACGCGAAGAACCUUACCUACUCUUGACAUCCAGAGAACUUAGCAGAGAUGCUUUGGUGCCUUCGGGAACUCUGAGACAGGUGCUGCAUGGCUGUCGUCAGCUCGUGUUGUGAAAUGUUGGGUUAAGUCCCGCAACGAGCGCAACCCUUAUCCUUUGUUGCCAGCGGUCCGGCCGGGAACUCAAAGGAGACUGCCAGUGAUAAACUGGAGGAAGGUGGGGAUGACGUCAAGUCAUCAUGGCCCUUACGAGUAGGGCUACACACGUGCUACAAUGGCAUAUACAAAGAGAAGCGACCUCGCGAGAGCAAGCGGACCUCAUAAAGUAUGUCGUAGUCCGGAUUGGAGUCUGCAACUCGACUCCAUGAAGUCGGAAUCGCUAGUAAUCGUAGAUCAGAAUGCUACGGUGAAUACGUUCCCGGGCCUUGUACACACCGCCCGUCACACCAUGGGAGUGGGUUGCAAAAGAAGUAGGUAGCUUAACCUUCGGGAGGGCGCUUACCACU
This 1418-nucleotide ribosomal RNA is filed under the name uncultured bacterium. RNAcentral's name for it is "bacterial SSU rRNA". It matches the Rfam family "Bacterial small subunit ribosomal RNA". The record is from RNAcentral.